ACGCUCGACACCUACGGGAGGCGGCAGUAGGGAAUCUUCCACAAUGGGCGCAAGCCUGAUGGAGCAACACCGCGUGAGUGAAGAAGGGUUUCGGCUCGUAAAGCUCUGUUGUUGGAGAAGAACGUGCGUGAGAGUAACUGUUCACGGGCAGUGACGGUAUCCAACCAGAAAGUCACGGCUAACUACGUGCCAGCAGCCGCGGUAAUCUGAGCGGGCUGGCAAGGC
This 225-nucleotide ribosomal RNA is filed under the name uncultured bacterium. RNAcentral describes it as "partial 16S ribosomal RNA". It matches the Rfam family "Bacterial small subunit ribosomal RNA", at positions 328 to 539 of the family's 1533-position model. The record is from RNAcentral.